AGGACAUAAACGAAUAACUUGGACUCGUGCAACUGCAUGUGAUGGGAUGGUCGACGUGGACAGCUGGUUUUAUCGCCAUAUUAUGCGUCAUGCCGUGCCUCAUUUUUCAUCGAACAAUGAGCUGCAACACACAAAUACCCCCACUCGGACCCCGUCUCUUUCGAGCCAAGGCUUUCUUUGGCCAGGCAAUGCGGUCAUGCUCAAAAGAAAUGUUGGUAGCAGCCAAAAUGAUUCCCUCUAACAAACUAAAGAAGGUCAUGAUCCUCAUAUGCAGCUACUACAAUACGUGCAAAGAUGCUAUAGCAGAAAAGGAGCCCGAAC
Molecule: long non-coding RNA, 321 nt
Organism: Dermacentor albipictus
Lineage: Eukaryota; Metazoa; Arthropoda; Arachnida; Ixodida; Ixodidae
Source: RefSeq, a predicted model, not a curated record